CCUGAGGUCCCGUCCCCGCGGAGGGGGGCCGGGAGCUUUAGGUCCCAUCCGGUGCGGCGGGCAGGAUGCACCAGAAGCUGCUGCGGAGCGCGCACUACAUCGAGCUGGGGAGCUACCAGUAUUGGCCGGUGCUGGUGCCCCGUGGCAUACGCCUCUACACCUACGAGCAGAUCCCCGUCUUCCUGAAGGACAACCCCUACAUCACCGACGGCUACCGGGCCUACCUACCCUCCCGCCUCUGCCUCAAGAGUCUCUUCAUCCUCUCCAACGAGACCGUCAACAUCUGGAGCCACCUGCUCGGCUUUGUCCUUUUCUUCACGCUGGGAAUCUACGACCUGACGGCUGUGCUGCCGGCCGCUGGAGCCUCCCGGGAGGAUUUCGUCAUCUGCUCUGUCUGCCUCUUCUGCUUCCAGGUGUGCAUGCUCUGCUCAGUAGGAUAUCAUCUUUUCUGUUGUCACCGCUCAGAGAAGACCAGCCGGCGAUGGAUGGCAUUAGAUUAUGCAGGAAUUUCCGUCGGGAUCCUGGGCUGUUAUGUAUCAGGCGUCUUUUAUGCAUUUUACUGUAGUAAUUACUGGCGUCAGGUAUAUUUAAUCACUGUGCUGGCAAUGGUCUUGGCAGUGUUUUUUGCUCAGAUUCAUCCCAGUUACCUCACACAACAGUGGCACAGACUUCGCUCCAUCAUCUUCUGCUCUGUGUCUGGAUAUGGAAUCAUUCCCACCAUCCACUGGGUUUGGCUCAACGGCGGCAUUGGUGCAUCUGUUGUACAGGAGUUUGCUCCGCGUGUAGUUGUCAUGUACUUCAUCGCUGCUGUAGCUUUUCUCUUCUAUGUUUCCAAAGUUCCAGAAAGAUACUUCCCAGGCCAGCUGAACUACCUCGGCUCAAGUCACCAAGUGUGGCAUAUCCUUGCGGUGGUGAUGCUGUACUGGUGGCAUCAGUCCACAGUGUACAUCAUGCAAUACCGACACAGCCAGCCCUGUCCUGAGUAUAGCCCAGGCUUGUGAGUGAAGAUGAAAUUUCUGACUUUGAGGUCUGCACCUUACCUGCUGAGCUGUUACGAGGUGAAGCACUGAGGCAGUUCCUUUUCUGACUUCUGGACUGCUGCCUGGUUGCUGUUGGGUUAUGGUGACGCUUGAAAAAACGAACAGCGUGGCCUGGGAUCUGAGCUGCAUUUCCUUCCUGUUCUGCAUUCCAGUAUAAAAUAGGUCUUCCUGGAGUGUGACAAUGGAAAGAUGGGCUCCAAGCGAGUUCUAAGUGCACUAAUUACUACUGCUGAAGCCUGAGGAGGAACCGGCAAGUAGAAAAAACGAUUUCCAAUGUCAUGUGAAAAAAAAAAUAAAUUUUAAGAACGUGUUUGUGUAUUGAGAGCAUACUGACUUGAUAGUUCUAAGGUAUUUUUAUGUCAACUCUUACCUACUGUAGCAGUUUUCACUGGAUCAGGAAACUGACUGCCAAGAUAUACAUUUUUAUUACCCUGAACUUUAUCAAGCUGCAUGAUGGUCUUCUAUGUAUGUACUGAACCUGUAAAUAAAUUCCACUUCAUUGGCCAUUCCCUUGAAGUAACAUCAUUCUUGCAUCUCACACAGCAGAGCCACAGAUGCAAAUUGCUCAACCACACAACAUCUGUCACCUCCCCUGUGUUUUACAGACAGGUGGACCAGCUCUUGAAUUCCCACAGCAUGGAGGCACAGGGCGGGUGUUCCAACUGCACUACUCCAGCACUGCAUGUAGUGUAUUCUACUAGUGGUACAGUGUUUUGUAGGCAUUAGCAAGUAAUACUGAACCUAACGAAUUGCAACUAGAAUCUGAUCAACAGGUUUUUAACAAGGUGGACAGAGAAAGCUGGCUGGGCAGCGAACUAAAAAAAGUACCUUAAAACAUUUUUUGAAGAGUGACAGGAUCCUGCAGCUACAAAAAGCAGAAGAAGCAGCACCGCUUACAGCAAGUGAAUUACAGACUGAAGGUGAAUACUUCUAACGAGAUGUGAAAGUCACUGUUACCACAUUUGUUUAUUUGACAACUGCAAGUGUUUCAUGACAUACAUCAGUUGCACAAAAAAAGUUAAAAGUUCUCUGUUUAGUGGUACACAAAAAAGCUUCAGAAACUUGAAAUCUAACAAGAAGUGGAAGUGUAGUUCAGGAAAGUGCACUUAAAAGCUGAAUGCCAGCAAUUUAAAAACAGUUUUUAUGCUCUUUUCAUAUUAGGUGAUGCCUUAGUCACAAAUUGAGCUACACACGCAAUUUCUUUGCUUUUCCUUUUGAAAUAAGCACUACGGAGCAGUAAUGCAGCAGCCACCCUUCCGACUUCUUUUUCCUCUUGGUGCUUUCACUCCUGAUCACUCCCUCAAGUCACACAGAAGUGAUUGUGGCUGCUGUUACUAAAAACACAGCUACUUCAAGAGAUACAGGACGUGUGCGAAUAUGUGUAUGUUUUAUAUAUACUUUUCAUAUAUAAAAAUACACAAUAUAGUAUAAAAAAAACUCCAGAUAAACUCUUAUUCUCACAGUAGCAAAUAUAUCAACUUAUUUUCACAGUACUUGGUUUUUCUAAGUUUGAACACCCCGAAUAAUGAGAAUUUCCAUCCCCCCAACAUGGUAUUCAUGGUGAUGCGGGUCAGUCAAAGCCAUUGCACACAUCUGGCAGCAUGGGACAGUCUGCAGGGAAACACUACUACCUUUUCUUUCCAAAACCACAAUCAUUAAGGACUUCUUCGUAUCUUUCAAUCGAAUCUCUCUCAAGCAGCUGAUUCUAAAAGGCCUGGGGUUCAGUCAUUCAAUGUGCUGAAAGGAGAGCUAUAAAAAUCAGUAAGUGGUGUCAGCUGGAAGGGAAGGGUCAGCUACUUACCUUGCCAUUCUUGUCUUCACAGGUAUGUGAAGGCUUCAUAUGGUAUGUGUCUAGUGCAGCAAGGUCUUGCCUAUACUAAAGGUAAGGUCACAAGCACAGAAACAAAGGCUGAAGGAUAUUGUGUUCCCUGACAGGACCACAUUUGACCAGUGGAUCUUGGCUGAAAUUCAACCCAAACUUGGGUUUAGCUGUGUAUAAACAAUACAUACCCUACAAAAUCAACUUCGCCAGGUAUGUUGAUCUCUUUUCAGCCACAAGAAAGGAUACAGUAAUUUAAACU
RNA transcript from Pezoporus occidentalis (night parrot), 3121 nucleotides. It is a transcript of the gene named progestin and adipoQ receptor family member 3, with no coding region annotated. The transcript is spliced from 8 exons. The record is from RefSeq and is a predicted model, not a curated record. Lineage: Eukaryota; Metazoa; Chordata; Aves; Psittaciformes; Psittacidae.